Molecule: ribosomal RNA, 772 nt
Filed under: uncultured bacterium
Lineage: Bacteria
Description: bacterial SSU rRNA
Rfam family: Bacterial small subunit ribosomal RNA
Source: RNAcentral
AGAGUUUGAUCAUGGCUCAGGACGAACGCUGGCGGCGCGCUUAACACAUGCAAGUCGAACGUGAAGCCGGGGCUUGCCCCGGUGGAAAGUGGCGAACGGGUGCGUAACACGUGAGCAACCUGCCCCGAAGACUGGGAUAACACCGGGAAACCGGUGCUAAUACCGGAUACCUUCUUCCGAUCGCAUGGUUGGAUGAAGAAAUGGAUUCCGCUUCGGGAUGGGCUCGCGGCCUAUCAGCUUGUUGGUGAGGUAACGGCCCACCAAGGCGACGACGGGUAGCUGGUCUGAGAGGACGACCAGCCACACUGGGACUGAGACACGGCCCAGACUCCUACGGGAGGCAGCAGUGGGGAAUCUUGCUCAAUGGGCGAAAGCCUGAAGCAGCGACGCCGCGUGCGGGAUGAAGGCCCUCGGGUUGUAAACCGCUUUCAGCAGGGACGAAAUUGACGGUACCUGCAGAAGAAGGCCCGGCCAACUACGUGCCAGCAGCCGCGGUAAUACGUAGGGGCCUAGCGUUGUCCGGAUUUAUUGGGCGUAAAGAGCUCGUAGGCGGUUUGGUGAGUCGGGUGUGAAAUCUCCACGCUCAACGUGGAGGGGCCACCCGAUACUGCCAUGACUAGAGUCCGGUAGGGGAGUGUGGAAUUCCCGGUGUAGCGGUGAAAUGCGCAGAUAUCGGGAGGAACACCAGUAGCGAAGGCGACACUCUGGGCCGGUACUGACGCUGAGGAGCGAAAGCGUGGGGAGCAAACAGGAUUAGAUACCCUAGUAGUCC